GACGAACGCUGGCGGCGUGCUUAACACAUGCAAGUCGAACGAUGAAGCACCAGCUUGCUGGUGUGGAUUAGUGGCGAACGGGUGAGUAACACGUGAGUAACCUGCCCCUCACUCUGGGAUAAGCCUGGGAAACUGGGUCUAAUACUGGAUACGACCGAUCUCCGCAUGGAGUGUUGGUGGAAAGUUUUUGUGGUGGGGGAUGGACUCGCGGCCUAUCAGCUUGUUGGUGGGGUAAUGGCCUACCAAGGCGACGACGGGUAGCCGGCCUGAUAGGGCGACCGGCCACACUGGGACUGAGGCACGGCCCAGACUCCUACGGGAGGCAGCAGUCGGAAAUAUUGCACAAUGGGCGAAAGCCUGAUGCAGCGACGCCGCGUGAGGGAUGACGGCCUUCGGGUUGUAAACCUCUUUCACCAGGGACGAAGCUAACGUGACGGUACCUGGAGAAGAAGCACCGGCUAACUACGUG
RNAcentral lists this ribosomal RNA (469 nucleotides) under uncultured bacterium. RNAcentral's name for it is "partial 16S ribosomal RNA". It matches the Rfam family "Bacterial small subunit ribosomal RNA", at positions 28 to 507 of the family's 1533-position model. The record is from RNAcentral.